Molecule: ribosomal RNA, 253 nt
Filed under: uncultured bacterium
Lineage: Bacteria
Description: partial 16S ribosomal RNA
Rfam family: Bacterial small subunit ribosomal RNA
Source: RNAcentral
UACGUAGGGGGCUAGCGUUGUCCGGAAUCAUUGGGCGUAAAGCGCGCGUAGGCGGCCGUGUAAGUCACUUGUGAAAUCCCGGGGCUCAACCGCGGGCCUGCAGCCGAUACGGGCAGGCUAGAGUUCGGUAGGGGAGACUGGAAUUCCUGGUGUAGCGGUGAAAUGCGCAGAUAUCAGGAGGAACACCGGUGGCGAAGGCGGGUCUCUGGGCCGAUACUGACGCUGAGGAGCGAAAGCGUGGGGAGCGAACAGG